Molecule: transfer RNA, 66 nt
Filed under: Vespa crabro (European hornet)
Lineage: Eukaryota; Metazoa; Arthropoda; Insecta; Hymenoptera; Vespidae
Description: tRNA-Pro
Source: RNAcentral
CAAAAAAUAGUUUAAAAAAAAUUUUAAUUUUGGAGAUUAAAGAUAUAAAAAGAUUUAUUUUUUUGA